UGAAAGGGGUGACUAACCCGUAAGGGAGUCACUUCAAGGUAAAACCGGUAACUGGGGCU
RNAcentral lists this ribosomal RNA (59 nucleotides) under uncultured bacterium. RNAcentral's name for it is "partial 16S ribosomal RNA". The record is from RNAcentral.